GACGAACGCUGGCGGCGUGCUUAACACAUGCAAGUCGAACGGAAAGGCCCUGCUUUUGUGGGGUGCUCGAGUGGCGAACGGGGGAGUAACACGUGAGUAACCUGCCCUUGACUUUGGGAUAACUUCAGGAAACUGGGGCUAAUACCGGAUAGGAGCUCCUGCUGCAUGGGGGGGGUUGGAAAGUUUCGGCGGUGGGGGAUGGACUCGCGGCUUAUCAGCUUGUUGGUGGGGUAGGGGCUUACCAAGGCUUUGACGGGUAGCCGGCCUGAGAGGGUGAUCGGCCCCACGGGAACGGAGACACGGUCCAGGCUCCUACGGGAGGCAGCAGUCGGGAAGCGGCGCCAAUGGGGGAGAGCCUGACGGAGCGGCGCCGCGUGUGUGAAGAAGGCCUGCGGGUCGUAAAGCUCUGUUGUUGGGAAAGAACAGAUGUGGGGGAAGACGUGGCGGUCUUGACGGUACCUAAAGAAGAAGCCACGGCUAACUACGUG
Molecule: ribosomal RNA, 488 nt
Filed under: uncultured bacterium
Lineage: Bacteria
Description: partial 16S ribosomal RNA
Rfam family: Bacterial small subunit ribosomal RNA
Source: RNAcentral